Molecule: ribosomal RNA, 345 nt
Filed under: uncultured bacterium
Lineage: Bacteria
Description: partial 16S ribosomal RNA
Rfam family: Bacterial small subunit ribosomal RNA
Source: RNAcentral
CCUACGGGGUGCAGCAGUGAGGAAUAUUGGUCAAUGGACGAGAGUCUGAACCAGCCAAGUAGCGUGAAGGAUGACUGCCCUAUGGGUUGUAAACUUCUUUUAUAAAGGAAUAAAACGAGGCACGUGUGCCUUUUUGCAUGUACUUUAUGAAUAAGGAUCGGCUAACUCCGUGCCAGCAGCCGCGGUAAUACGGAGGAUCCGAGCGUUAUCCGGAUUUAUUGGGUUUACAGGGAGCGUAGAUGGGUUGGUAAGGCAGUGGUGAAAGUUUGCGGCUCAACCGUAAAAUUGCAAUUGAUACUGGCAGUCUUGCGUACAGUUGCGUUCGGCGGCAUUCGUGUUGUAGCG